Molecule: long non-coding RNA, 956 nt
Organism: Daphnia carinata
Lineage: Eukaryota; Metazoa; Arthropoda; Branchiopoda; Diplostraca; Daphniidae
Exons: 2
Source: RefSeq, a predicted model, not a curated record
UAGGUUUAGCAAAUAGAUUUAUGGAAUGAUUUUAUCAUCUAGCAAUAACUAUUAGGUAUCGUAAUAGCUAAGCUGGAGGAAUGGAUUACUUUACUUACAGCGGCGAGGUGAUAGACGAAAAGGUGGAGUUGGUACUUUGGUCACUGAAAACUUCCCAUAGUAACAGUAUGUUGGAAUACCGACAAUGAAGAUAACAAAUUGAAGGCACAAUUCGACUGGGACUUGAUAUGUUGAAAGCCGGCUACGUAACCACGGCAAAAAGGAGAACUGUGUGCUGCAAAUAAUAAGGAAAAUCUAAAAUGUUAUUUUGCUACGAAAACAACGGUGUCAUCCGAAAUCAUGGUGAAAACGCACUAGCAUCGUAUUUAGAAAAAUUAAUCUACAAAUAACGGUCGAAAGAUGGAUACCUGAUACGGAGACCUUUUGCCAAAUCAUUCGAUUUUUAGAAAACUAUUUUAGGGUCAAUGACCGAGACCGACCGACUUUAGCACCAAUGUCUAGGACUGGUAUUGGUGUUGCUGAUGUCCUUGUCGGUUAUGACCAGCAAAGUUACUGAAAAAAUACGUGAGAAUACCGCUGCCAAUGAAGAAGCUCCCCGUCAGCAUAAACACAUCGCAGGCACGUUCUUUGUUAUUGGUUUCAAUACAGUUGACUUGUGCUCAUAACAGUUUUGUAUAGCUAAAUUCCUGUGUCCUCCGGAAGCCUGUUCACCCAGAUGUGGCAAAGGUUUUCACUGCAUGAAAGGCCAAUCACCCAAGGAGCCACCUUGUUAUUGCAUGCUGGACUCGGAUAUGCCAUAACAAAAAAGGAUCUCAUUCCGUAGUCCAAGCAGAUUGAUCACGAUGGCAUGCGUAAAUUGAUGACGUCAUCUAAUUCUUUCAGCCACAAUGUCCACCUUGUUUCCAUUGAAAAGAGAGUGCGUAAAAAAAGUAUUUAAUAGAAUUCGUGAAUCACAA